RNAcentral lists this long non-coding RNA (3300 nucleotides) under Sus scrofa (pig). RNAcentral describes it as "lncRNA (ENSSSCG00000034990.3)". Lineage: Eukaryota; Metazoa; Chordata; Mammalia; Artiodactyla; Suidae. The record is from RNAcentral.
GGAGGCGGGGGGCGGCGGCGGGCGGCGGAGCGCGGGGGCUGGUUCCUGGUCCCCGGGAGAAGCCAAGAAGGUCCUGAGUUCAAGAGAAACAGGUGUCUAAACAGAAGUAAAAUCCUGUGGAAGUUUAGGAUAAUUGAAUUACUCGCAAAUUGGAGUAUCCUGGAAAACUUCCUGGAGGAAGUGGCCUGUGCUUUGUAUCAGGAAAAAUAGGUAUCAGAAUGGUGCGUGGGUUUGGUUUGAAGCUAAAGAAAGGAGAAAGAGCCAGAGAAGAAGAAAAAAAGGUAUUUUGCCUGAGGACUUGAGGCUCCCCCCCCCAACUUUCCUCCGCUUGACUGACUUUCUCACACUCAGAUUCCCUGCAGCCUGCCAGGGACGUGGUAACUGCCCUGCCAAGAGUGAUCCUGGGAGAGCUAUUGAAAGAGCUCUGAGUAAGUACACACUGGGCGGAUUUUCCCUCCCCUUCGUACCUGCUCCGCACCUGUACAGGGAGCAGUCCCACACAUAUCACCUGAUCGCAGCCCUUUCAGAGACCGUGAGAAAAAUAAAGUCCAGCAUAGAAGAGAUGUUUGUCUCUGCAGGGCUGCAGCCAGCUCCCCACGGUCCGGGUGCCCAGAAACAGCACAUUCCUGGCCGGGUGUGCACGCGUGUUUGCCCACACGCGCGUGCUGGGUGGGGGCACCAGCAGGGGAGGGGAGCCGGGCAUCACCUGCGUAAUAACUGCUUUGCUGCCUCCAUUUUUGGGCAUCCUUCCUGUCUGGAAGUUUUGUGAUCCUCUACUAGAAUCAUUAUUAUGGUCCCUCUAGACAAGAGUCUGUGUAUGCUCAUCACAGCUGAAUGCAUCACCAGGAUGUCAGACAUUAGGGUUCAUGGAUGAAACGCCCUGGGGCCUCUGAAGCCCUUGAAAUGGACCUUUAGAAAGAGCUUCUUUUUCCCCCGUGUUUGUCUUUUUAGGGCCUCCUUGGCAUAUGGAAGUUCCCAGGCUAGGGGUGGAAUCCGAGCCACAUCCGUGACCUACACCGCAGCUCACGACAACGCUGGAUCAUCAACCCACUGAGUGAGGCCAGAGAUCAAACCCGAGUUUUCCUGCACACCAGUUAGGUUUGUUACCACUGAGCCGCAACAGGAACUCCCAGGAGCUUUAUGAGUGAAUGAAUAAAUGCAUCAUUCCACCCCCACCUCACCGCCGCCACCCCGGGGGAGAGAGUCUACAGCUUUUAGCAGAAUCUCAAAGUUUUUUGUAACGCAGGAAGGUUGAGGAAGCUGAUCCAGGCAAUCUCGAUGUAUAAGUGGGUACUCUAAGGCCCAGAGAGGGCCAGGGACUGGUUCAGGCAACAUAGGGCAGAGUGGGGGCCAGAAGCCAGCUCGGAGUCCUUUGUACCAUUCCCCAGUGCUGUGGAUCUUGGGAAAUUUAGGGUGGGGUUUAUGGAGUUGGGAUCACCGCUAGAACUUGGAUUUAAAAUAGACACUUUAAUAAAGGUCCUUUGAGUCUCCAGAACUUUGUUUUCUUAAUUUGGGGGGUACUUGAGCUGCUCUGCACGCAGCAUUUGGACAGAGAUAGGAUGGGGGAAAGCCAAGUGUCUGCCCAUAGAAGAGGAUUCAGGAAUGCUUGGAGCAAGAGUCCUGGUUGCCAUGCAGAGGCAUUAGAAACGAUCACAACCCUGCAUUCCAUCUUUGAUAAAAACCAAGUUGCUACUUUGGAACAAAACUGCCUAGUUGGUUUCUGGCCAAGCUGGGACCUUGCACUGCAAACUGGGGGCGAGGGCAGAAAACAGAAGCUUUCAACAUUGGCUCAUAGCAGCCUCCCCUGACCCCUCCCCUCCCUGCCCCCCUGAAAACUUGACUAGAGCCAGUGAGACCAAGGGAAAGUGCACUUUCCUAAUGGUCCCUGAACAGGAUGGUUGCCAAGAAGGCCUUUCCUGAUGGGGCGGGGGCAGGGCACCGGAAUGCCUUCACUCCCACAUUUGGCUGGCCCACAGCAGCCUUGGAGGGCAGGGUCUAAACGUGCUGUCAGCUAACCUCUAACCCUCUGAGCAAAACUGCGGGGAGGCCAGCCUGCAAGCCCCAGGUUGAAGGCAGGUGCUCCCGCGAGAUCACAUGCCUGCUGGCUUGCACACUUGUGGUGAAUGACUCGAAACAGUGCUGGGGCUGGUGCCUUUGGGAGCUUCUGGGAAGUUCAGGAAGGUGGGUGAAGCCUUAGCCCCUUUAAACCCAGACCAUGUUUGUGUUUGCUGAUACCUGCUCAAAUUGUGACAUCGGGUCACGUUUCUCAAAAAAUCAAAAACAGAAACAAUUCAGCUAGCCAAGAAAAUCAGUUGGAUAAACCUUAGGACCUGACAUUGAUAUAGGAUGAAUGUAUCUGGCAUCUUUUCAAUUAAGAUUGCCAUCAUUGUUACCUUGCUUAUUAUCCUCAGCCUAUAGGACAAGGAUGGGGGGAGGCAGAGGAUGGGACCUAAGAGGUGGCCGAAUGGGUCCAUUCAUUGAAUGCAUUGGAAAACUGAACCCAGGGAGAAGCGACUGGCCCAAGGUUUAACAACUUCCCCAGAGAGGGAAGAGCAAAGCCAGAAUUAGGCUCAGGUUUUCCACCCACCAGUCCAGUAACCCUCCCCACUGUGUCUAUGAGAAGAACGCUUUGAAAUAUCAUCUGCAGCAAGUGACUAACGUUACCAACAAGAAGGGUUUUCCGGUUAAGAACCGGAGCUACCUGCUGGUAAGUGAGUGUGGCAGUGUGACACACCAUGCCCAGCAUAGAGUGUGGUUAAAGGCCAGGCUUGCUGCACUGUGAUUCCCUUUUGGAUUUGCUGACUACCCUGUAAUCUCUGGAAAAGAAGGAAUCUUGGUUUCCAAGUUCCAGAAGACAGGAAGUCGCUUGCAGAGGCCAUACAGAAUAGCAGAGGGAGAGGUGAGAAAGAAUGGAUUUUCCAAGUGGUAGGUAGAUGCUAUUUGCAUGUGAGCUGUAUAUGUUCCUUUUAAAUAAUCAGGCUUAGGAAACAGGAAGAGACAAUCCUGGCAGCUGUCACAACUGCAGCUUAAGACUCUGGUGGGUUCCAUCAGGUCUGGGAGCUUCUGGUCUCUUUCACAGAGGUACCUGUCCUGCUGCCUUGUAGUAUUUGACGGCUGACAGGCACUUUUUAGUCCAUUACAGCACUUCGUCCUCAUGUGUAGCCUUAUAAUCUUGCCUGGAAGGACUUUGGUGAAAGGCCCAGGGAGGGGAGGGAUGAUUCAGGUGACCAGUUCAGGAGGCUUUUGGCUAGACCCUGGGCUGUUGGGGGCCCAGAACAUAGGCUAGACAAGCUUUCCAGG